RNAcentral lists this long non-coding RNA (1304 nucleotides) under Olea europaea (common olive). RNAcentral's name for it is "long non-coding RNA (OEUR_LNC006589)". Lineage: Eukaryota; Viridiplantae; Streptophyta; Magnoliopsida; Lamiales; Oleaceae. The record is from RNAcentral.
UUAACAUAACAUUCAGAAAUCAAUGAAAAUUAUUCGAGUAUUUACCAUUAUAAAUUAAUUUCUUUAUGUCACAUAAUAAAUACGAGUAGUCAGAAACAUAAAAUCAAAUAAGAAACCAGAAAGAAAGUUUUCAUAAAGAUUUUACCUAUUUUUCUUUCAUUUUCUUCUCAGUUUUUCAAUUUCUUACCAUGAGUUGCUUGUUUGGGAGGCUCAAGUUGAUGGAAAGAAAGAGAGAGAGAAGGAAGCAAAUGCAGCUGGCCAUUGGAAAGUCCUUGCUCCCACCAAUUAUUUGUAAUUUCUUCUACUAGUCUACUUCAGUUGUGAACACUUACUUGUGAUCUUGCUGUCGUUCCGCGUAUCUGCCCUAAACCAUCUCUUCUAGUUGGUAAAGUAGGUUAUUUUGAGUAAUUGGGCAGGUUUCGGAUGGGUCUUCGGUUGGGUUUUGGGCCAAAAUUUAUUUUUUUAUGAGGCCCUAGGCAGCUGCCUAGUUGGCCUUGGUCCAGAACCGGGCCUGAUAUCUCAGUAGCUCCAUUUUGCUGAUAGUAACUGUUGAAUGCAAAGGAUGCAUGAGAUGCCAGGCUAUCGGGCUCAAAACAAGGCUGGCUCAACUGAAUAGCUGAGCAGUCCACAUUUCCAGAACCGCAAGCCCAAUCGAGGCCCUUUUUAAUAUCAUCUUCAGAAGCAGUGGAUGAGGCAAUGCACCAUGUUCCAUUGGAACUGGUGAUGUUAGAAUAAUGUAUAAAUAGUUCAAUGAAAAGACAAUAAAAAUAAAAAAAAAAAUAUAAAAUACAACAAUGUAAUGCAAAAACCCUGCAUUUUGUAACACCAGAUUAACAUAACAUUCAGAAAUCAAUGAAAAUUAUUCGGGUAUUUACCAUUAUAAAUUAAUUUCUUUAUGUCACAUAAUAAAUAUGAGUAGUCAGAAACAUAAAAUCAAAUAAGAAACCAGAAAGAAAGUUUUCAUAAAGAUUUUACCUAUUUUUCUUUCAUUUUCUUCUCAGUUUUUCAAUUUCUUACCAUGAGUUGCUUGUUUGGGAGGCUCAAGUUGAUGGAAAGAAAGAGAGAGAGAAGGAAGCAAAUGCAGCUGGCCAUUGGAAAGUCCUUGCUCCCACCAAUUAUUUGUAAUUUCUUCUACUAGUCUACUUCAGUUGUGAACACUUACUUGUGAUCUUGCUGUCGUUCCGCGUAUCUGCCCUAAACCAUCUCUUCUAGUUGGUAAAGUAGGUUAUUUUGAGUAAUUGGGCAGGUUUCGGAUGGGUCUUCGGUUGGGUUUUGGGCCAAAAUUUAUUUUUUUAUGAGGCCCU